This 429-nucleotide ribosomal RNA is filed under the name uncultured bacterium. Its description in RNAcentral is "bacterial SSU rRNA". It matches the Rfam family "Bacterial small subunit ribosomal RNA", at positions 355 to 775 of the family's 1533-position model. The record is from RNAcentral.
UGGGGAAUUGUUCGCAAUGGGCGCAAGCCUGACGACGCAACGCCGCGUGGAGGAUGAAGGUCUUCGGAUCGUAAACUCCUGUUGACCGGAAAGAAUGGCUCCCAGGUGAAUACCCUGGGGGAAUGACGGUACCGGUUGAGGAAGCCACGGCUAACUCUGUGCCAGCAGCCGCGGUAAUACAGAGGUGGCAAGCGUUGUUCGGAAUUACUGGGCGUAAAGGGCGCGUAGGCGGCCGCCUAAGUCAGACGUGAAAUCCCCCGGCUUAACCUGGGAACUGCGUCUGAUACUGGGUGGCUUGAGUUCGGGAGAGGGAUGCGGAAUUCCAGGUGUAGCGGUGAAAUGCGUAGAUAUCUGGAGGAACACCGGUGGCGAAGGCGGCAUCCUGGACCGAAACUGACGCUGAGGCGCGAAAGCUAGGGGAGCAAACGG